Molecule: ribosomal RNA, 468 nt
Filed under: uncultured bacterium
Lineage: Bacteria
Description: partial 16S ribosomal RNA
Rfam family: Bacterial small subunit ribosomal RNA
Source: RNAcentral
GACGAACGCUGGCGGCGUGCUUAACACAUGCAAGUCGAACGGAAAGGCCCUGCUUUUGUGGGGUGCUCGAGUGGCGAACGGGUGAGUAACACGUGAGUAACCUGCCCUUGACUUUGGGAUAACUUCAGGAAACUGGGGCUAAUACCGGAUAGGAGCUCCUGCUGCAUGGUGGGGGUUGGAAAGUUUCGGUGGUUGGGGAUGGACUCGCGGCUUAUCAGCUUGUUGGUGGGGUAGUGGCUUACCAAGGCUUUGACGGGUAGCCGGCCUGAGAGGGUGACCGGCCACAUUGGGACUGAGAUACGGCCCAGACUCCUACGGGAGGCAGCAGUGGGGAAUAUUGCACAAUGGGCGGAAGCGUGAUGCAGCAACGCCGCGUGCGGGAUGACGGCCUUCGGGUUGUAAACCGCUUUCGCCUGUGACGAAGCGUGAGUGACGGUAAUGGGUAAAGAAGCACCGGCUAACUACGUG